This 253-nucleotide ribosomal RNA is filed under the name uncultured bacterium. RNAcentral describes it as "partial 16S ribosomal RNA". It matches the Rfam family "Bacterial small subunit ribosomal RNA", at positions 524 to 776 of the family's 1533-position model. The record is from RNAcentral.
UACGUAGGGUGCAAGCGUUGUCCGGAAUUAUUGGGCGUAAAGAGCUCGUAGGCGGUCUGUCACGUCGGCUGUGAAAACCUGGGGCUCAACCCCGGGCCUGCAGCCGAUACGGGCAGACUAGAAUUCGGUAGGGGAGACUGGAAUUCCUGGUGUAGCGGUGAAAUGCGCAGAUAUCAGGAGGAACACCGGUGGCGAAGGCGGGUCUCUGGGCCGAUAUUGACGCUGAGAAGCGAAAGCAUGGGGAGCGAACAGG